CCGAAGAUUUCCGAAUGAGGAAACUCACUUAGAGUAAUGUCUAAGUAUCAUUAAGUGAAUACAUAGCUUAAUGAGGGGAACUCAGGGAACUGAAACAUCUAAGUACCUGAAGGAAGAGAAAGAAAUUCGAUUCCGUAAGUAGCGGCGAGCGAACGCGGAUUAGCCCAAACCAAUAAAGUUUUCUUUAUUGGGGUUGCGGACAUAUCAUAACGAAGAGGUAUCGUA
RNAcentral lists this ribosomal RNA (225 nucleotides) under Clostridioides difficile. RNAcentral describes it as "partial 23S ribosomal RNA". It matches the Rfam family "Bacterial large subunit ribosomal RNA", at positions 104 to 331 of the family's 2925-position model. The record is from RNAcentral. Lineage: Bacteria; Bacillati; Bacillota; Clostridia; Peptostreptococcales; Peptostreptococcaceae.